AUGCUGGGCCUCUGUGCCCUCCGCUCCCUUCCGUCAGGAAAUCCAGGCCGCAUACGCUGCUGUGGGCCCCUGACGUCCUUACCUGUCUGCCGGUGCGGCGCCCGCCCCCCGCUAGGUGCUCCGGGGCCAGGGGUGCUCCGAGGCCAGGGGUGCUCUGGGGGCAGAGGUGCUCCGGGGUCAGGGGUGCUCCAAAGUCAGAGGUGCUCCAGGGUCAGCGGGGGCCAGUCCCUGGGGGCCCCGCAGGACGGGGGGAGGGUGGAGAGGGUGACCCAAAGCCGGCCCGGGCUGCCUGGGUGGACACAGGAGGGGGUGUCACAUGUGCCAGGGCGCGGCCCUGCUGUGACUCGGCGUGUGGCCGCUGGGAAAGGCGCGCCGCCGGCCUGGAGUGCCCUGCAUGUCCAGGGUCCCCCGUCGCCACGAGCGUGGACAUCCGACCGCCGGAACAGGCCUGAGGGCAGCUGGCGUCGUCCCACGGGGGGGCACUUCCUUCAGGAGCCGAAAUGUCGACGUGUGUGGCACUGGCACCCCCAUACUGUCAACACCCACCAAGUGCGGCAUCAGAGUCCCCGGGGCUGGACGGCGAGGCAUCCGAGAUGUCACCUUAGCACGGCGGAGCUUGAGCGCUGACACGUGGGCCGCCCGCAGAUCCGGGUGUGCAAAGCCGCCUCAUCCCUCAAGGUAUUCGGGGUUAAUCACCAAUUAAAAUCGGCCAAGACAGCAAAUGUGCACGGGCGCUGGGAAAUGCAUCUUCCUCCUGGGAGCGAGCAGGGCCCCCACCCAAGUGAGGAGGCGCUGCCGGCGGUGCUCCCACCCCCCGAUCCCCCCAAAAGGGGCCAGAGCAGGAAAGACCCUGCGGUUUCUGCUCCGGUUUAGGGCAGCGUCGCCUCCUGGGCGGGACCGCGGGAAGCACACGCGGCCCGGGCAGGGGAGCCUGCGGGUGUGCAGAGCACAAGCUUCUGCCGCCCGCGUUGCCCCGCGGUGUGCGCCGUGCUGCGGGGCGGCGGGGCCGCCUUGGGCUUAUCCACACGCACGCACACGCGCACACACAUACCUUGAGCAUUUGUAUCAGCGUCUUUAGAGCCGUAAACCAAUCUGCCCUUAGAGAAACAUACAUUUCCUUAAACUGGCCUGUGGCCUUGAGGCCCUGUCCACGCAAACCUUUCUUCCCCUCUGAUAUUUCAUCAUGAAAAAUAAUUUUUUAAGGUUUUAUUUGUUUACUUGGCAGAGCGAGCAAGCGAGUGAGCACAAGCAGGGGCAGAGGCAGAGGGAGAAGCAGACGCCCCCGAGCAGGGAGCCCGACGCGGGGCUCCACCCCAGGACCCCGAGAUCACGAGCUGAGCUGAAGGCAGAUGCCUCACCCACUGGGCCCGGGCGCCCCUGCAAGACAACUUUUGAGUCCACGCUCACUCGGCAAGGACUGCACAUGAGAACCCCGUAGGCACCGCCUAGUUUCUACUGUUACUUUAUUCACUUGCUUUAUCACGGAUCCAUCCACUUGUCUGUGUUUUUAUGCGUCUAUCAAUCAAUUAUUCGUAUCGUCGUGAUGCAUUUCAAAGUAAAUUGCAGACCCUUCUUUUGAAAUACGUCAGCAUUCGUAUCACUAAAACCCAAAAUUUGUUCCCAGGUGGUUUUUUGCUUUUUGAGUAAAGUCUAUAGGCAAAGAAACACAGAAACGUGAAGUG
Molecule: long non-coding RNA, 1682 nt
Filed under: Canis lupus familiaris (dog)
Lineage: Eukaryota; Metazoa; Chordata; Mammalia; Carnivora; Canidae
Description: lncRNA (ENSCAFG00040023586.1)
Source: RNAcentral